GACAGAGGGUGCGAACGUUGCUCGGAAUUACUGGGCGUAAAGCGCACGUAGGCGGAUUUGUAAGUCAGGGGUGAAAUCCCGGGGCUCAACCUCGGAACUGCCUUUGAUACUGCAAAUCUCGAGUCCGGAAGAGGUGAGUGGAAUUCCUAGUGUAGAGGUGAAAUUCGUAGAUAUUAGGAAGAACACCAGUGGCGAAGGCGGCUCACUGGUCCGGUACUGACGCUGAGGUGCGAAAGCGUGGGGAGCAAACAGG
Molecule: ribosomal RNA, 253 nt
Filed under: uncultured bacterium
Lineage: Bacteria
Description: partial 16S ribosomal RNA
Rfam family: Bacterial small subunit ribosomal RNA
Source: RNAcentral